Molecule: ribosomal RNA, 918 nt
Filed under: uncultured soil bacterium
Lineage: Bacteria
Description: bacterial SSU rRNA
Rfam family: Bacterial small subunit ribosomal RNA
Source: RNAcentral
AGAGUUUGAUCCUGGCUCAGAAUCAACGCUGGCGGCGUGCCUAACACAUGCAAGUCGAACGAGAAAGGGGAGCAAUCCCUGAGUAAAGUGGCGACCGGGUGAGUAACACGUGACUACCUGCCCUUGAGUGGGGGAUAACCUCGGGAAACCGAGGCUAAUACCGCAUAAUAUCGCAAGAUCAAAGGAGCAAUCCGCUUUUGGAGGGGGUCGCGGCUGAUUAGCUAGUUGGUAAGGUAACGGCUUACCAAGGCGACGAUCGGUAUCCGGCCUGAGAGGGCGCACGGACACACUGGAACUGAAACACGGUCCAGACUCCUACGGGAGGCAGCAGUGGGGAAUUUUGCGCAAUGGGGGAAACCCUGACGCAGCAACGCCGCGUGGAGGAUGAAGCCCCUUGGGGCGUAAACUCCUUUCGACUGGGAAGAUUAUGACGGUACCAGUGGAAGAAGCACCGGCUAACUCUGUGCCAGCAGCCGCGGUAAUACAGAGGGUGCGAGCGUUGUUCGGAAUUAUUGGGCGUAAAGGGCGCGUAGGCGGUACGGUAAGUCACCUGUGAAAUCCCCGGGCUCAACUCGGGGCCUGCAGGCGAAACUGCCGUGCUGGAGGGUGGGAGAGGUGCGUGGAAUUCCCGGUGUAGCGGUGAAAUGCGUAGAUAUCGGGAGGAACACCUGUGGCGAAAGCGGCGCACUGGACCACUACUGACGCUGAUGCGCGAAAGCUAGGGGAGCAAACAGGAUUAGAUACCCUGGUAGUCCUAGCCCUAAACGAUGAUUGCUUGGUGUGAUCGGUACCCAAUCCGAUCGUGCCGCAGCUAACGCGAUAAGCAAUCCGCCUGGGGAGUACGGUCCCAAGGCUGAAACUCAAAGGAUUGACGAGGGCCCGCACAAGCGGUGGAGCAUGGGUUCAAUUCGACGCACG